Molecule: transfer RNA, 54 nt
Filed under: Protaeolidiella atra
Lineage: Eukaryota; Metazoa; Mollusca; Gastropoda; Nudibranchia; Aeolidiidae
Description: tRNA-Tyr
Source: RNAcentral
UGGUGGCCGAGUUUAGGUGGUAGAUUGUAAAUCUAUUUAUGGUUGUUUACCCCA